UUCCUCUUGUCGAGACUCUCUCCAUUUUUAGUGUAGUGCAGAAAUCAGAAAAAAAAGCUCUCUCUUCUCUCUUUCUGCUUCUCUCUGUUGGCACAGCAAGCAGUAAGAGCACCCCAAAGAACCCAUCUUCUUCUUUGUAUACAGCAGGAAACCAGAAACUCUUCAUCUUCUAUGUUUCUUUUCCAACCCGGAGCAACUCUCUCCUUCGUUCUUCUUUCUUCUCUGUUCUCCUUCUUUCCCGUUCUUCCCUUUACUCUCUCUUGCCGAGAGACACAGGGAGACUGAACGAGAGAGUGAGAGACCGUGAGAUGGAGAGAAGAAACUGAGUAGGAGACCCAGAAACCUUCCCCCUCCUUCAAUCGGUGAAGAAACCAAAACAGAGCAACUCAUUCCUUCUUAAAGCUGCAGAAAAAUCUUCAAAGAAAAAUCAAACCUCUUGCUCUCUCUCUCACCUGAUUAUAUCUGUAAACAUUUCUUGAAGCUAGAAGAAUUGCUCAUGAGAUUGUGGUGAUAACUGCAAUCUCAUGCGAGUUUUUGCAGGGUGGAUUAAAGGUCAAGACUAUUGGAAUAAUUAUUUUUAUAUGAAAUAUUUGUUAUGUUGGAGAAGACAAUAAUUAUGUAUUUAUUAAGUGC
Alnus glutinosa is the source of this 633-nucleotide long non-coding RNA. RefSeq lists it as uncharacterized. The transcript is spliced from 3 exons. Lineage: Eukaryota; Viridiplantae; Streptophyta; Magnoliopsida; Fagales; Betulaceae. The record is from RefSeq and is a predicted model, not a curated record.